GCCGCGGGGCGCAGCGUUCGUGCCACUCGUCCGCGCAACUCUCUCCGCACACCGCAACUUACGUUCGCCAGACGGGCACGCGUGGAUCACCAGUGACGAUUGGAUUUCCAACUUGUGAAUAAAUAAUAGUUCCACAUUAUGAUAAGUGACAUGUGCAAUUAGUUAAGUGCAAACAAAUAUUCAGUGCAUUGUUGUUGAAGCCGGUUCACCUCGUGAGCGAGGCCGGUUCCGAGUGCCGGUCGCAGUGCCUGUGCCCCUCCGACUUGUGCUUUCUAAACGAAUCCCAAGCGAGCGUUAACUGUUCGCUUGCUACGUGAUCCUUAACACUUAUUUGGAUUUUAAAACGAACAGACGGCGGGCGGCGGCCGGCGCGCGAUGAGGUAGCGCCGCGGCGCGCGCGCAGCCCACACUCACCGCUCCCGCGACGCGCGCCUACACACACUAUAUGAGAACUCCAAAAACGCGAUGCUUGGUGCGCGAGCGUGGCUGGUGCUGGCGGCGGUGGCGUGGUGCGCGCGCGCCGGGCCCGG
Long non-coding RNA from Ostrinia nubilalis (European corn borer), 530 nucleotides. RefSeq lists it as uncharacterized. Lineage: Eukaryota; Metazoa; Arthropoda; Insecta; Lepidoptera; Crambidae. The transcript has 3 exons. The record is from RefSeq and is a predicted model, not a curated record.